Molecule: long non-coding RNA, 4549 nt
Filed under: Jatropha curcas
Lineage: Eukaryota; Viridiplantae; Streptophyta; Magnoliopsida; Malpighiales; Euphorbiaceae
Description: long non-coding RNA (JCUR_LNC000472)
Source: RNAcentral
AUCAACAAAAAUCAAAAUUAAAAAUUAUUCCAAGAAGAAGUAAAAAAGAAAGAAGAAAAAAGAAUGGCUCUACCUAAGGGAUUGAUUGUCUUUGCCUUUUGCAUGCUCAUGUUGAGCACUACUAUGAUAAUGACAACAACAGCAACGGAACCAGAAACAGAACAGAGAGACAUUGCAGAUACUGAUAGCAGCACCUUUGGAAAGGAUGACAGCAGUACCGGUGAUAAGAAUGUCAAAGAAGUUGCCAAGAGGUUGUUUAAAUAAUAACAAAGGAAUUCAUUAUUAAGCUAUAAUUUGUGUAUGUAAUAAGAAUUUCAAAUGGAAUGAAGUCAUAUGUCUGAUUCUCUUUAGUGAUAAGAAUGCAAAUAUAUAUAUAUAUAUAUAUAUAUAUAUAUGUACACACACCCGUUUCCUUAAAUAUGAAAAUUUUCAUAUUUGAAUAAAUUUUCAAGUUACUUUAUUUUGUUUCAUCAUUAUUAUAAGUUUCCUCAAUUAAGUUAUUUUUUAUUUUGGUAGUUUUGUUUCCAACCAAAGCUCUCUUUGUCUUGAUAUCUUGUUCGAAAGGUAAAACUAGAGCUUGCAUUAACCAAAAUGAAGUAAUACAGCAUGAGAAUAAAAUCGGGAGGGAUAGUCCCACUCCUGAAGAUCAGACCCAAAUAGGCACUAAACGCUGUUCUCUAACCUCUUACCAAAGAGAUAGGACAUUCAACAAGUUCAUUCAUCAGAAUUUUAUAAUCACUAACAAUCUGACAAAAGUAUGAAGAGUCCCCUUGCCUUUUAUAAAGAGCCUAGAAAAGGAUUAGGGAUUCAGUUUCAAAGAUUAUAUGGUGAAAGCCUUUACCUUUUACCCAACUUAAUGCUUCUAUAUUAGAAACGGCCGUAAUGCCAACUGUCAGGCUGCAACCACCACUCCCCAGCUAUCCCCCAAGACCCAGCCCGCUCCCAUAACUAGAGAAGAAACAUGAAGGGCUGUAUCUGAGUUACUGUUGACUCAAGUGUCAAUUUUAUCUUAAGAUUUUAAUGAUUAUAUAAAAUAAAUAAAUUUAAUAUUCUUGUAUGUGCUAAUAUUAUUUCAUGCAGAUUUUUAAAAUAUGAUAAUUAUUAAAGAAAUGAAGAUUUUCAUGAUUAUAUAAAAUAAAUAAAUUUAAUAUUCUUGUAUGUGCUAAUAUUAUUUCAUGCAGAUUUUUAAAAUAUGAUAAUUAUUAAAGAAAUGAAGUUCAUACAACCUAAGAUUUUUAUUUGAAGACCGUGAAGAUUAAUAAAGAUAUUUUCUAUUGGUUAGUACUAUAAUAAGUCUUAGGAAAUUAUUAUAGGAUAGAGAGUAUAUAAUUUUAUAAGCACAAAUCUAUUUUAUCUCUCUCCAAAUUGUUUUAAAAUGUUUUUGAAUAAAUUUAUUAAGAGGAUAUAGCCAAAAUUUUUACUUUUCACGUUUUCCCAUCUAAGAUAUCUUUGGAGUAAAUAUCCUUGUUGGCUAUUAAACGAAAUUCUGCAAAAAGCAGUUUCUGAUUUAACACAACUGUCUAUUUCUAAUACAGCUGGCUGUUUCUGCUGUAAAAGUUACACUGUUUUCUAAAUUAAACCUUUCACCUCCAACAACCCUUUUAAUUGCAACUCAUGCAUUGCCUCUUCAAUUUCAAAAUGUUAGAAACUUCAUUGCUCAUUAAAGCAAAAAAUCUCAACGUUAACUUAUAAGAGAUUAUCAUCUUUUCAUUUAAAAACCCUUUCCUCUUUUAAAAAGAUGGAGUUUUUGCAAAGAGUAUGAGUCCAUUGUUUAACGUUUAAAUCUCUCGAAGCUCUUUCUUCAAUUCUCCUAUUUCUUUUCGUCUUUUUACUUCAAGAAAAAUUUUUAAGAGAAAAGAAAGUUUAUUAACAACAUUUUUCUGAUCUUUAAAUCUGUUUUCUAAAUUCGUUUUCUGUUCUUCCUGUGCUUAUAUUUGCAUUUCUCUCUGUCUAUAUAGAUUCUGUAAUCUGUUGUAGACAGGCUCUUUAUUUGAAAACUUUUGUGUAAUAGCUUAGGUGAAAAGCUAUGGUGUUAUAGGUUAUCAAGCGACCUUCUCCUUGUGUGAGAUUCUAAUAUCUUGAUUUGAGUUUCUGUUCUUUGCAAAAACAGAAAGGGUUGAGGUUGACUAGAACCUUUGGAAAAUCUAGUGGGAUAAAGGUAGUUAGAUUUAGUUGAUAUAUUUCCUUGUAUUGUUGGUUUGUCUCUUACCCUUGAAAAGACAUAACAUAGUAGAGGAUCUCAAGAUGCGUCUUGAGGAGUGAAUGUAGGCGAAUUAGUGUCAAACCACUAAAAAUCUCUGUGUUUAUCUUCUUUUACUUUUUGAAGUUCUGCUUGAUUAUAUUCUAUUUACACAACUGUUAAUCUGUUUAGAAAUGCAAAGUUGUUAAUGAGUUUCUGAUUCUAAUCGUGAGUAAACUUUAUCUCUGUGGAAUACUAGAACUCUCGAUUUCUGUAUUGUGAUUAUACCAAGUUCUAAUCUGUCCUUUUAUAUUCAGUGUAAUUCACAAUAUGAAUUAUAAUUAGUUUUUUUAAUCUUGCUUAAAGUUUUGUGAACCAGUUCUAAAAUGCAAUAAUUGUUUUUCACAUAGUCUUUCUAAAAUACAAAUAAACUUUGUGAAGUUGUUUUAAUCGCAAUAGCUGUUUUUUACAGAGUCUUUCUAAAAUUGCUUAAACUUUGUGAAGCUGUUCUAAUCGCAACAACUGUUCUUCACAGAGUCUUUCUAAAAUANNNNNNNNNNNNNNNNNNNNNNNNNNNNNNNNNNNNNNNNNNNNNNNNNNNNNNNNNNNNNNNNNNNNNNNNNNNNNNNNNNNNNNNNNNNNNNNNNNNNNNNNNNNNNNNNNNNNNNNNNNNNAAUAAGCUUUGUGAGGAAGUUCUAAACUUGAUAACUAACUCUCACAAAUGCUUUCUAAUUCCGCUGCAACAGAAUUCUGAUUUUUGUUUUUGAAAGUUAAAUUUUUAGAAAACCUAAUUCACCUCCCUCUUGAGUUGUGUCAUACAUAAACAGGACCCACAAUCUGGUAUCAGAGCUCUUGACUCUUGACUUACCGAAGCUUAACAGCUUGAGAGAAAAAAUCACAUGGCAGCCCCACUUCCUCUUACAUCUUUAGAAGGUCAAUCUGUUUCUAGACCACCUCUGUUCAAUGAUUCUAAUUACUCUUACUGAAAAAUCAAAAUGGAAAAUUUCAUAAAAUUAGUUGAUAUAAAUUGUUAGAGAAACAUUAUUACUGGUCCUUGUAUUCCUAUAAUAUGAAUUAUUAAAAAACCGUAAAUGAAUUUGGCACGAGAACCAAAAUUAACAUUAUAUUACAAAUUAGAAGAAAUAAAAUAUUAUUUAUUUUUGAAAUUUUUAUUUAAAAUUUUUAUUUUUUGCAAAAAAUAUUUAUAAACCACACUACUUGUAACUUACCACGUCUUACAUAAAAAAAAAAAAAAAAACUACUUUUUACAUACUAUUGAAAAUUGUUAUAUAAUAUUAGUAACGUACUUGUUACCAAAAUUAUUAAUAAUUUCUUUUAUUUUAAAUAAUAAAAUUAAUCUAAAAAAACUUAAAUGGAAAAUUUUGCAUACCUAAAUUAAAAAUUAAUUUAUUAUAACUCACAUUACCAUGACAAGCACCAAAGACAAUAUUAUAAUCAUAAGUAACGGUAACCUUUUAUUUAUUUUUUUUUUUUUUCCCUUCAAGUUACCUUAACCAAAGGUCCCAUAAGCUUCUUUCCUGCAGGUGCUAUUUUGUGGGAUUAAAUUAUUGUCUCCCAAUGAUUUACCUUCGUGUAUAUUCUUAUAUUUAUGGUAUGUCUAUUACUCUAUACACUAACUACCAUAUUUCUCUUCAUUACAUUAUUUUUUAUUUAACCGAACUACUUAUAUUUUGCACACACAAAAAUAUAUUGGUCAAGGAUUGAAGUUUAUAGUCUUGAAUGACCACUUCUAUUCUUCCAUUUUCCUAAUAAUUAGCAACUAAUUAGUUAUUUGACCCUUUCUCCAAUUCUAAUUAGCAAGACUCUUAAGAAAAUAAGCCUAAUUAUAGCAAAAUUCUUAAUAUAAAUAAAUCCAUAUCUCUUUCAUCAUCGAUCAACAAAAAUAAAAAUAAAAAAUCAUUUCAAGAAGAAGAAGAAGAAUGGCUCUACCUAAGGGACUGAUUGUCUUUGCCUUUUGCAUGCUCAUGUUGAGCACAACUAUGAUAAUGACAACAACAGCAGAGGAACCGACAGAAAUUGCAGAUACAGACAGCAGCACCUUUGGACAGGAUGAUAGCAGCACCUUCGGCACAAAUGUCAAAGGAGCAGGCUACAAGAGGUUGUUUAAAUAAUAAUAAAAGAAUUCAUCAUUAAGCUAUAAUUUAUGCAGGUAAUAAGAAUUUCCAAUAGAUUGAAGUCAUGUCUGAUUCUCUCUAUGAAUGAGAAUGCAAAUAUGCAUUGUAAUAGAGUUUCUUCAAAAUCCUAUGAAAAAUUCUGUAUUUGAAUAAAUUUCCUAAGUUACUUCUAUUUUGUUUCAUCAUUAUUAUAAGUUUCCUGAAUUAAAUUAUUUCUUAUUUUGGUAGUUUUGUU